AAUAUUGCGCAAUGGAGGGAACUCUGACGCAGCGACGCCGCGUGAGCGAUGAAGGUUUUCGGGUCGUAAAGCUCUGUCCUUGGGGAAGAAGGUCUUCGGACUUGACGGUACCUAAGGAGGAAGUCCCGGCUAGCUCCCUGCCACCAGCCGCGGUAAUACGUAGGGGGCAAGCGUUGUCCGGAAUUAUUGGGCGUAAAGGGUGCGUAGGCGGCCUUUUAAGUGAGGUGUGAAAGCCCACGGCUUAACCGUGGGAUUGCAUUUGAAACUGGAAGGCUUGAAUAUCGGAGAGGGUAGUGGAAUUCCCAGUGUAGCGGUGGAAUGCGUAGAUAUUGGGAGGAACACCAGUGGCGAAGGCGACUACCUGGACGAAAACUGACGCUGAGGCACGAAAGCUAGGGGAGCAAACA
RNAcentral lists this ribosomal RNA (407 nucleotides) under uncultured bacterium. RNAcentral describes it as "partial 16S ribosomal RNA". It matches the Rfam family "Bacterial small subunit ribosomal RNA", at positions 360 to 774 of the family's 1533-position model. The record is from RNAcentral.